Molecule: ribosomal RNA, 253 nt
Filed under: uncultured bacterium
Lineage: Bacteria
Description: partial 16S ribosomal RNA
Rfam family: Bacterial small subunit ribosomal RNA
Source: RNAcentral
UACGUAGGGGGCAAGCGUUGUCCGGAUUUAUUGGGCGUAAAGAGCGUGUAGGCGGCCAGGUAGGUCUGCUGUGAAAACUCGAGGCUCAACCUCGAGAUGUCGGCGGAAACCAUCUGGCUAGAGUCCGGAAGAGGAGAAUGGAAUUCCCGGUGUAGCGGUGAAAUGCGCAGAUAUCGGGAAGAACACCCGUGGCGAAGGCGGGUCACUGGACUGGUACUGACGCUGAGGCACGAAGGUCAGGGGAGCAAACGGG